AGAGGAAGUAAAAGUCGUAACAAGGUUUCCGUAGGUGAACCUGCGGAAGGAUCAUUAUCGAGUUUUGAAACGGGUUGUAGCUGUCCUUCGUAAGGAGGUACGUGCACGCCUUGCUCAUCCGCUCUCAAACCCCUGUGCACUUUUUGUAGGCUUGGUGGGAUAGGCUGACUUCGGUCGGCUUUGAAUGCCUCGCCUAUGUAUUAAAACAAACGCUUCAGUUUAGAAUGUAACCUUGCAUAAUAAGCAAAUAAAUACAACUUUCAGCAACGGAUCUCUUGGCUCUCGCAUCGAUGAAGAACGCAGCGAAAUGCGAUAAGUAAUGUGAAUUGCAGAAUUCAGUGAAUCAUCGAAUCUUUGAACGCACCUUGCGCUCCUUGGUAUUCCGAGGAGCAUGCCUGUUUGAGUGUCAUGGUAUCAUCAACCUUCAACACUUUUGUGUCUGUAGGCUUGGACUUGGAGGUCGUGUCGGCGUUCGCGUCGGCUCCUCUGAAAUGCAUUAGCGUGAAUCUUACGAAUCGCCCUCGGUGUGAUAAUUUCUACGCCGUAGACGUGCAGUAUAUAGUGUUCGUGCUUACAACCGUCUGCAAAGACAACAUCAUUGACAAUCUGACCUCAAAUCAGGUAGGACUACCCGCUGAACUUAAGCAUAUCAA
Molecule: ribosomal RNA, 653 nt
Filed under: Phlebia radiata
Lineage: Eukaryota; Fungi; Basidiomycota; Agaricomycetes; Polyporales; Meruliaceae
Description: eukaryotic LSU rRNA
Rfam family: 5.8S ribosomal RNA (bases 256-409)
Source: RNAcentral